This is an RNA transcript of Trichogramma pretiosum, 718 nucleotides long. RefSeq lists it as uncharacterized. The record is from RefSeq and is a predicted model, not a curated record. NCBI's taxonomy places the organism in Eukaryota, Metazoa, Arthropoda, Insecta, Hymenoptera, Trichogrammatidae. The transcript has 2 exons.
UCUCGUGUUCUCGCGCAUGAGUUUGUGGCGAAGAACUUGACCGCGUCGACGUGGUGCGCCGAGUACCCGUUCUGGCCCCUGUUGAGACUUCUUCGGGGAAUUUUUUUGUUCUCGUGUUCUCGCGGAUGAGUUUGUGGCGAAGAACUUGAACGUGCCGACCUGGUGCACUAAGUGCCCGUUUUGGCCCCUGUUGAAACAUCUUCGGGGAAUUUUUUUGUUUUCGUGUUCUCGUGGAUGAGUUCAUUUGGGGAACGCUUCGACCCGUCCACUUUUGUGAUGCGUGGCACUUUUUUGUGAUGUAUUCUAUAACAUACCAAAAACGCGUCAAGAUUGGUGACAUACGUGCGGACGAAAAUUUAAAAAAGAGGCCAAAAAGGCGCAAGCCAGUCCCAAGGAAAAGACCGAUUCCGAGACGGAUACAGCUUCGGAAGGUGAGGCGAAAAAAGACGAUGACAGUGGUACAGAUACAGCAGCGGAAGAAGAGAUGCAGCAACCCCGCAAUUUAACAGCAGUCUACGAGGAGGCGAAGCAUCUCUUCAAUAUAUCACCCUUCGAGGUGUUAAAACCCCUCACAAGGAUAUGGCUCGCAGCCCAAUACGUAGAACUACAGGAUGCAUUAUCAGAAGCAACUGACACCGGUCGGCGGCAAUGAAUGAAGAAGGGAGCCUUCUUUUAUAUAUAAUAUAUGUAAAUAUUAAAUUAGUAAAUAAUAAUGAAU